GACGAACGCUGGCGGCGUGCUUAACACAUGCAAGUCGAACGGGAUCCACAGGCUUUUUGUCUUUGGUGAGAGUGGCGAACGGGUGAGUAACACGUGAGUAACCUUCCCCCUUCUUUUGGAUAACCGCAUGAAAGUGUGGCUAAUACAGGAUAUUCCAGGCUGGUCUCAUGAUUGGUUUGGGAAAUGGUUUGGUCUGGUGGGGGAUGGGCUCGCGGCCUAUCAGCUUGUUGGUGGGGUGAUGGCCUACGAAGGCGGUGACGGGUAGCCGGCCUGAGAGGGUGGGCGGUCACACUGGGACUGAGAUACGGCCCAGACUCGUGCGGGAGGCAGAAGUGGGAGAUGUUGCACAAGGGGCGCAAGCCUGAUGCAGCGACGCCGCGUGAGGGAUGAAGGCCGUGGGGUUGUAGACCUCUUUCGCUGGGUUGAAAGGCCAUGCUUUGGGUGUGGUUGAUUUGAACUGGUAAAGAAGUACCGGCUAACUACGUG
RNAcentral lists this ribosomal RNA (486 nucleotides) under uncultured bacterium. RNAcentral describes it as "partial 16S ribosomal RNA". It matches the Rfam family "Bacterial small subunit ribosomal RNA", at positions 28 to 507 of the family's 1533-position model. The record is from RNAcentral.